AAAAAAGCAUGGGGUCAAAUACAAGAUAAAAGUCUGUAUACAGAGAAAAGUAAGUAACUAAGCCCAUCCAACUAAAGUCCAACUACCACUGGAGUCGUCGAAAACGUUUUACAUAAAAGGUAAAGAAUCAAAGGCCUCCCAACAAUAGUCAUUAUACAUGGCUUAACCAAAGAGAGGCUUAAACCAAGACAUCUAUUGGAGCUUCACUGUUCCAAGUAGAUUAAUCAAAUCCCAAGCCGAGACAAAGUGGAGAAAUUCAGGGCAUCAUAAGAACUGGUGGAGGAAGAGGUGGCAGACCUCUUGGCGACUCACUCGUGUCUUACGAGCCCACAAAGGACCUAACAAGAUACGAGUCUCUACACUGAGCAAUUCCUCACGCCCUCAGCAACAACUGAU
RNAcentral lists this unclassified non-coding RNA (396 nucleotides) under Hevea brasiliensis (rubber tree). Lineage: Eukaryota; Viridiplantae; Streptophyta; Magnoliopsida; Malpighiales; Euphorbiaceae. The record is from RNAcentral.